Molecule: ribosomal RNA, 497 nt
Filed under: uncultured bacterium
Lineage: Bacteria
Description: partial 16S ribosomal RNA
Rfam family: Bacterial small subunit ribosomal RNA
Source: RNAcentral
GAUGAACGCUGGCGGCGUGCCUAAUACAUGCAAGUCGAGCGAACGGACGAGAAGCUUGCUUCUCUGAUGUUAGCGGCGGACGGGUGAGUAACACGUGGAUAACCUACCUAUAAGACUGGGAUAACUUCGGGAAACCGUAGCUAAUACCGGAUAAUAUUUUGAACCGCAUGGUUCAAAAGUGAAAGACGGUCUUGCUGUCACUUAUAGAUGGAUCCGCGCUGCAUUAGCUAGUUGGUAAGGUAACGGCUUACCAAGGCAACGAUGCAUAGCCGACCUGAGAGGGUGAUCGGCCACCCUGGAACUGAGACACGGUCCAGACUCCUACGGGAGGCAGCAGUAGGGAAUGUUCCGCAAUGGGCGAAAGCCUGACGGAGCAACGCCGCGUGAGUGAUGGAGGUCUUCGGAUCGUAAAACUCUGUUAUUAGGGAAGAACAUAUGUGUAAGUAACUGUGCACAUCUUGACGGUACCUAAUCAGAAAGCCACGGCUAACUACGUG